UCAAAAUUGUUGGCAUUGUCGAGAAGUGCCUUCAAAAAGACCUAAUUGCCCCCCCCCCACCAAAAAAAGUACAUUGUGAAAGGGUACAACUUAUUUGCAACCUGCCAUUAUCGGCGUCGGCACAUGUUCGUGUGCAUUAUGACAAAAAAGAUCAUGUCUGUUUUUAAAAGUAAAUAGUGGAAACAUGGGUAGAAUCGUUUAGUUUCUAUUUGGUAACAAGUGGCCUUAUUACAGGUAGGCUUAGACAUAAUGCUUUGGAAUGUUUCACUUCAGUAACAAAUGGGCUAGGCCCAGUGUUUUUGUAACCCUGUUCACUUAGGAAAGAGUUGCAGCUUUCAUCAAAGAGACUGAUGAUCUCAAAGUUGAGACAGACUGGAUGAGCUAGGCUGCUUUGUCUGGACGAAAAUCAACCCUCCAAGGCUCCAACAGCCUCAUCACACAGAAACUCGAGGAACCGGAAGCAGGGAGGAGGACCGACAGAUGAACGGAUGACCUGCUUGCUGGUCUACCCAUUACUGAUUCUUGAGACAUGAGGACCACUGACUGAUAAGGGAAUUGUCUUACUGAGAUGGAUGAGCCUGCCUUAAGCUACCAUAAGAUGGGAGGACCGGCGGUUGACCGACUCUGGCUGCUUGGUUGGCCAUUACCGAUUCUUGAGGCCCAGUGUUUUCGAACCCAUGUCCACUUAGGAAAGAGUUGCAGCUUCCAUCAAAGAAACUGAUGAUCUAAAAGUUGAGACAGACUGGAUGAGCUAGGCUGCUUUGUCGGGACGAAAAUGAACCCUCCAAGGCUCCAACAGCCUCAUCACACAGAAACUCGAGGAACUGGAAGCAGGAACGAGGAACAACAGAUGAACGGAUGACCUGCUUGCUGGGCUUCCCAUUACUGAUUCUUGAAAGAAAUGAGGACCACUGAUUGAUGAGAGAAUUGUCUUACUGAGAUGAGGAUGAGCCUGCCUCAAGCCAUCGUAAGCUGGGAGGACCGACGAUGGACUGACACCGCCUGCUGGCCUGGCCAUUACUGAUUAUUAAGGACAUGAGGACCACCAAGCUUGGACGAGACUGGACAAUGACGAAGCUGCUCUACUGGACAAGGAUGCCCUCAUCGGAAACUUGAGUUAAAAAAACUAGCUUGCACAAUAUGAAAUGAUAAAUCGACUGCAUAAUGCAACGUCAUUCAUGUUAUACACUAAGGCAACAACACUAAAAUAAAAUGAAAAGUAAUUUUGAUUUCAUUAAAUUAUAUAUGCCUCUCAAAUAAUCUUAAACCGGAUACUGCAACAUACAGUUAACAAUGGACAAUAAUGGAAACUUGCUUAAAAAUUAUUUUAAGGGUAAUAAUUUGUCACUGGCUUUUUAGCAGUGACAUGUCUGGGAGAAGGAAUGUUCCUUUGAUCUGUCCUGGGUCAUCCAAAAUUAUUGCAUCAAUAAGUUAAUAAUUUCAUACUCCUUACCUUUAAUGCAUUCAAUUUGAUCUUCUCGGUAAAUUAUAAACGAGGUCUCGCCUAUGGCUUUCUAUUUGGUUUUUGUUCAGUUGACAAUGGAGAAUUUUGCUCUAUAAAUUUAAUUUGAUAUUGAAGGUGCAAUUUUAAGAAAACCAAUUUAAGUCAUAAGAGUUUUGAAAGAUUUCAAAAAGGAUUAAUUUAUUGUUUAAAAACUGAAGAAAUGUAACAAACUUUAUUUAAAUUUAACGUCUUUAACAAGAAGUCGGUUUAACUAAAACGUGACUUUCUUUCCAUUGUAUAUUCAUUAGAAAACACAAGAACGUUUAAUUUUUAGGAAAAUUUAAAGAAUAAACUGUUCAGGAACUUCUAUCCAUCAAAAUG
Molecule: long non-coding RNA, 1825 nt
Organism: Patiria miniata (bat star)
Lineage: Eukaryota; Metazoa; Echinodermata; Asteroidea; Valvatida; Asterinidae
Exons: 5
Source: RefSeq, a predicted model, not a curated record